AGAAAUAUGUCUGAUAAAAGAGUUACUGUGAUAGAGUAAAAAAUAGAGGUUCAAACCCUCUUAUUUCUA
Molecule: transfer RNA, 69 nt
Filed under: Sus scrofa (pig)
Lineage: Eukaryota; Metazoa; Chordata; Mammalia; Artiodactyla; Suidae
Description: tRNA-Ile
Rfam family: tRNA
About the family: Transfer RNA (tRNA) molecules are approximately 80 nucleotides in length.
Source: RNAcentral